AUGAUAGCAACAUUUGAUGUUGCUGUGAGGCAAGGGAAAAGGCUAGCUGACUUCCCACAGUCCUUUCCCACCCUAUUUUCCUACGGUUCUGUGUGACUUGCAUCUCCACGCAAGCCUAGAUGUUAAAAGUGAAAUGGGAAGUCUGAUUAGAAAAGAAAUCCAGGGUUUCCCUAAUGAAGUUAAGUGACUAAAUGAGGAAAACGAAUGAUGACCAUAAUACGUUCCAGCCUAGAUGCUGCAUGCAGCUGUCUGUGCUUUCCAGACUGGGAGUAAUUCAGCCUCCUGGCCAUCACUUUUUUUGCAGUAGAAGAAAUAUUCUUAUUUGACCAGCAACAGAACCACCGUUGUGAUUCCCAGCUGUGCACAGCAACAGAUGACUUCCUCCAAAAGACCCUGCUUUCAUGAUUAAUUCUCCAAUGCUACGAUGCCACUGCACACACCUGCCACCACUUUCUCGUACCUAGCUCUGGGGUGCAAUCUCCACGCCAGGGUCACUGCAUGAGCCCCAUGGGUGCUCGAGCUGGUCCUCGGGGAUCUACCUUAAAACUGCCGAGGGAGCCGGCGGCAGAGCCGUGGACGGACGCUAGGACUCCCCAGUCUUGYAUCUGCGCUUCCAGCUCAGCAUUGCCCUCCUGCUCCGCCGUGGCGGGGAGCUGCUCCUUGGGGCAUCAGGCACCUUCUCGCACCUGGUUUUCUGGAGGCCCAGCAGGACCCUGAUCCCAUGAGUCAGAGCACCCUCAGCAUCUUGGCUGCUGUUUUUAUAACUAUAGCACCAUUUACCUGAAACAGGUUUUCUGCAGUUUCAUAGCUCGGUUCAUGUUUUUAACGUCACUCAUGCUGCUACCUGUUUAACACACGUUAAAGCAGCGUGACAACAUGUGCUGGCCCCAACAGGGUGUCUCUCCGCCAGGCUGGACCGUACUGCGCUGCCUGCCGGGGGAGCGCAAAGCGCUGCUGUCGGGAGACGACGUCAGCAGGCGGCACGGAUCGAGGCCCCUCUCCCCUUCCCCGAUGCGGCGGGGGGCUGGCAAGGUCCGUCUCCUUCCCGCCUGCUUAGCCGAAGCGCGGCCCGGAGUUCGGUGGAGGCAGCUCAGCGAACGUCAGCGCUGGCCUCACUGUGCUGCAUUGUUUUUGUGGGUGUCUGCACCUUUCAGGCGAGCGCCAAUUAGGAGGGGGGCAGGCGAGAGGAGAGAAAGGAAGCAAACAGAGGCAAAGCGAUUCAGCUCGCAGCAAAUCUGCAGCCUGUUUGCCAGACAGAUGGAACCACGUAGUCGAUGGCUUUGCUGCAGCCGGGCCCCCGAGCAGGAAGGAAGCCAGCUCUCUGCAAAGGAUGGGCUUGGUCCAGCAACGAGCACAUCCCUGUGA
Molecule: long non-coding RNA, 1365 nt
Organism: Apteryx owenii (little spotted kiwi)
Lineage: Eukaryota; Metazoa; Chordata; Aves; Apterygiformes; Apterygidae
Source: Ensembl